UUCCAAUUAGUUUGACAGCUUGUAGUGACAACUGUGUACAUAAUAUGCUCCAUUUUAAUUAAGAAACAUAGAUGAAAAAUACACCAUUUUAACUCACUAAAACAACACAGUUGCACUAAAAUAAACCCUAUAAAAAGUGCACCAUUUGAAGAAACAAUAAUAAAAGUAAAAAACAUAACAUAAUUUCAAUUUCAUGACCAUUGAAGCUUUUCUAUCGUAUCAAUUUCUCCCAUACGUAAAGGAUCCUUGUCCUCAAGGAUCAAACUAGGGAUAGAGCUACUGGAAUUUGUAAAAGUGUUUCCAAGUAGCAUCCUAGGGAAACGUGUUUUCCCAUUCAACCAGUAUUUCUGUAGCAACAUUACUUCCUCGCUUCACCAUUCUUCGAUUUAAUAUUUGGACUGGUAUAUUCUGAAGAGUGCGAUCUGACCCAACUAAAGGAAAAUAUUGCUGUGUGAGGACAAGAACACCAUGUUUCUUGAGUUGAGAAACAUGAAAUGUAUGAUGAAUCCGAGAGCCUUCAGGUAGUGUCAAUUUGUAAGCAACUUGCCCCACUUGUGUUGCUACUGGAAAGGGUCCAAAAUAUUAAGGGAAAAGCUUCUAGUUAUAAUGCUUCCUCAAUGAGUGCUGAUGAUAGAGUUGUAAUUUUAAGUAAUCAUAAUCCCCAAUUUGAAACACCCUUUCACUCCUGCGGUCUGC
This 696-nucleotide long non-coding RNA is filed under the name Gossypium barbadense (sea-island cotton). Its description in RNAcentral is "long non-coding RNA (GBAR_LNC015628)". Lineage: Eukaryota; Viridiplantae; Streptophyta; Magnoliopsida; Malvales; Malvaceae. The record is from RNAcentral.